Molecule: transfer RNA, 78 nt
Filed under: Acidobacteriota bacterium
Lineage: Bacteria; Pseudomonadati; Acidobacteriota
Description: tRNA-Glu
Rfam family: tRNA
About the family: Transfer RNA (tRNA) molecules are approximately 80 nucleotides in length. Their secondary structure includes four short double-helical elements and three loops (D, anti-codon, and T loops). Further hydrogen bonds mediate the characteristic L-shaped molecular structure. tRNAs have two regions of fundamental functional importance: the anti-codon, which is responsible for specific mRNA codon recognition, and the 3' end, to which the tRNAs corresponding amino acid is attached (by aminoacyl-tRNA synthetases). tRNAs cope with the degeneracy of the genetic code in two manners: having more than one tRNA (with a specific anti-codon) for a particular amino acid; and 'wobble' base-pairing, i.e. permitting non-standard base-pairing at the 3rd anti-codon position.
Source: RNAcentral
GUCCCCAUCGUCUAGUCAGGUCUAGGACACCAGCCUUUCAAGCUGGCGACACGGGUUCGAAUCCCGUUGGGGAUACCA